CAGUAGCCGCGGGAAAACGGAGGGUGCAAGCGUUAAUCGGAAUUACUGGGCGUAAAGCGCACGCAGGCGGUCUGACAAGUCAGAUGUGAAAUCCCCGGGCUUAACCUGGGAACUGCAUUUGAAACUGUCAGGCUGGAGUCUUGUAGAGGGGGGUAGAAUUCCAGGUGUAGCGGUGAAAUGCGUAGAGAUCUGGAGGAAUACCGGUGGCGAAGGCGGCCCCCUGGACAAAGACUGACGCUCAGGUGCGAAAGCGUGGGGAGCAAACAGGAUUAGAUACCCCAGUAGUCCCUGUCUCUUAUAA
Molecule: ribosomal RNA, 301 nt
Filed under: uncultured bacterium
Lineage: Bacteria
Description: partial 16S ribosomal RNA
Rfam family: Bacterial small subunit ribosomal RNA
Source: RNAcentral